ACUUCCCCUAGAGGCACUGCAGGUGUAGCUAUGUCACAUGUGCAUUGAUAGAUGGCCAAGAGAAAAAAGGCUGUAUCUAUGUAUCUACACUUCGUGUUCUGACCUAUAAACAUCCAAAUGAUCAACAGUUAACAUG
This is a small nucleolar RNA of Arvicanthis niloticus (Nile rat), 136 nucleotides long. RefSeq annotates it as small nucleolar RNA SNORA17. The record is from RefSeq and is a predicted model, not a curated record. Lineage: Eukaryota; Metazoa; Chordata; Mammalia; Rodentia; Muridae.